RNAcentral lists this ribosomal RNA (382 nucleotides) under Ustilago sp. RNAcentral's name for it is "partial small subunit ribosomal RNA". It matches the Rfam family "Eukaryotic small subunit ribosomal RNA", at positions 582 to 975 of the family's 1831-position model. Lineage: Eukaryota; Fungi; Basidiomycota; Ustilaginomycetes; Ustilaginales; Ustilaginaceae. The record is from RNAcentral.
AUUCCAGCUCCAAUAGCGUAUAUUAAAGUUGUUGCAGUUAAAAAGCUCGUAGUUGAAGUUUGGUCUCGGACGCUGGGUCUGCUUCAUUGCAUGUACUUGGCGGUCCGAGACUUCCUUCCUGGUGAACGGCCGCCUUUGGGUGGUCCGGAACCAGGACCACUACUUUGAAAAGAUUAGAGUGUUCAAAGCAGGCCAUAGGCCCGAAUAUAUUAGCAUGGAAUAACAGAAUAGGACGUGCGGUUCUAUUUCGUUGGUUUCUAGAACUGCCGUAAUGAUUAAAAGGGACAGCCGGGGGCAUUAGUAUUUGCACGCUAGAGGUGAAAUUCUUGGAUUGUGCAAAGACUUCCUACUGCGAAAGCAUUUGCCAAGAAUGUUUUCAUUA